GUGGCACUGGCGUAAUUUUACACUAUACACUUCUUCUCGCACGAGAAGGUAAAGGUGGCUUUGGCCUGUGGCGAGAGUCCACGUGACGCAAAUUCUGGAUGUGGCAGCCACCGACGCAAGGUGACGCGCAACGUGAGCAUCCUUUCACUGCAAAAGGAACGCCAGCAUCGCGGCUGACCGCGCCCUUCAGCAGGAGCAGCUGCCAUUUGUUGGAGCCACUGGUCCAGCCUGGCUCGUCCCCAACGUCACGCGUUGUACAGGCUCGUUGCUCUGGCGCUGGGGAGGAGGAGAAGCCUCCGCGUUGUGUUUUAACCACUCCCAUGGGAGUCCUUCCUUCCUGCUGUAUUUAUGCGUUCCGCCAGCCCGGCCCUUUGAAAUAAAACACAGUAUUUGAGUUCCUUGA
Long non-coding RNA from Rhipicephalus sanguineus (brown dog tick), 403 nucleotides. RefSeq lists it as uncharacterized. The transcript is spliced from 2 exons. Lineage: Eukaryota; Metazoa; Arthropoda; Arachnida; Ixodida; Ixodidae. The record is from RefSeq and is a predicted model, not a curated record.